GGUCUUGACAUCCCGGAGACCCUUAGGAAACUAGGGGUGCUUCCAUCUGGAAGAAUCUGGAGACAGGUGCUGCAUGGCUGUCGUCAGCUCGUGUCGUGAGAUGUUGGGUUAAGUCCCGCAACGAGCGCAACCCUUGCCUUUAGUUGCCAGCAGUUCGGCUGGGCACUCUAAAGGGACUGCCGGUGUUAAACCGGAGGAAGGUGGGGAUGACGUCAAGUCCUCAUGGCCUUUAUGACCAGGGCUACACACGUACUACAAUGGCCGAUACAAAGGGCAGCGACACUGCGAGGUGAAGCCAAUCCCGUAAAAUCGGUACUCAGUCCGGAUUGGAGUCUGCAACUCGACUCCAUGAAGUUGGAAUCGCUAGUAAUCGUGGAUCAGCAUGCCACGGUGAAUACGGUUCCCGGGCCUU
RNAcentral lists this ribosomal RNA (412 nucleotides) under uncultured Desulfobulbus sp. RNAcentral describes it as "bacterial SSU rRNA". It matches the Rfam family "Bacterial small subunit ribosomal RNA", at positions 977 to 1382 of the family's 1533-position model. The record is from RNAcentral. Lineage: Bacteria; Pseudomonadati; Thermodesulfobacteriota; Desulfobulbia; Desulfobulbales; Desulfobulbaceae.